RNAcentral lists this ribosomal RNA (440 nucleotides) under uncultured bacterium. RNAcentral's name for it is "partial 16S ribosomal RNA". It matches the Rfam family "Bacterial small subunit ribosomal RNA", at positions 338 to 795 of the family's 1533-position model. The record is from RNAcentral.
CCUACGGGAGGCAGCAGUGGGGAAUAUUGCACAAUGGGGGGAACCCUGAUGCAGCGACGCCGCGUGAGCGAUGAAGGAUUUCGGUAUGUAAAGCUCUUUUAGCAGGGAAGAAAAUGACGGUACCUGACUAAGAAGCCCCGGCUAACUACGUGCCAGCAGCCGCGGUAAUACGGAGGGAGCAAGCGUUAUCCGGAUUUACUGGGUGUAAAGGGAGUGUAGACGGGUGUGCAAGUCUGGAGUGAAAGGCAUGGGCUUAACCUGUGGACUGCAUUGGAAACUGUGCGGCUUGAGUGUAGGAGAGGCAAGUGGAAUUCCUAGUGUAGCGGUGAAAUGCGUAGAUAUUAGGAGGAACACCAGUGGCGAAGGCGGCUUGCUGGACGAUGACUGACGUUGAGGCUCGAAAGCGUGGGGAGCAAACAGGAUUAGAUACCCUAGUAGUC